GAGUGUCUGUUGACCCCACUCGCC
Molecule: ribosomal RNA, 24 nt
Filed under: Undaria pinnatifida
Lineage: Eukaryota; Phaeophyceae; Laminariales; Alariaceae
Description: partial 5.8S ribosomal RNA
Source: RNAcentral